This 484-nucleotide ribosomal RNA is filed under the name uncultured bacterium. RNAcentral describes it as "partial 16S ribosomal RNA". It matches the Rfam family "Bacterial small subunit ribosomal RNA", at positions 30 to 507 of the family's 1533-position model. The record is from RNAcentral.
AUUGAACGCUGGCGGCAGGCCUAACACAUGCAAGUCGAGCGGAUGAAGGGAGCUUGCUCCUGGAUACAGCGGCGGACGGGUGAGUAAUGCCUAGGAAUCUGCCUGGUAGUGGGGGAUAACGUCCGGAAACGGGCGCUAAUACCGCAUACGUCCUGAGGGAGAAAGUGGGGGAUCUUCGGACCUCACGCUAUCAGAUGAGCCUAGGUCGGAUUAGCUAGUUGGUGGGGUAAAGGCCUACCAAGGCGACGAUCCGUAACUGGUCUGAGAGGAUGAUCAGUCACACUGGAACUGAGACACGGUCCAGACUCCUACGGGAGGCAGCAGUGGGGAAUAUUGGACAAAGGGCGAAAGCCUGAUCCAGCCAUGCCGCGUGUGUGAAGAAGGUCUUCGGAUUGUAAAGCACUUUAAGUUGGGAGGAAGGGCAGUAAGUUAAUACCUUGCUGUUUUGACGUUACCAACAGAAUAAGCACCGGCUAACUUCGUG